This 372-nucleotide ribosomal RNA is filed under the name uncultured organism. RNAcentral describes it as "bacterial SSU rRNA". It matches the Rfam family "Bacterial small subunit ribosomal RNA", at positions 526 to 896 of the family's 1533-position model. The record is from RNAcentral.
CAGAGGGUGCAAGCGUUGUUCGGAAUUAUUGGGCGUAAAGCGCGUGUAGGCGGCUUUGCAAGUCGGGUGUGAAAUCCCUCGGCUCAACCGAGGAAGUGCGCCCGAAACUGCAGAGCUUGAGUGCCGAAGAGGGUGGCGGAAUUCCCCAAGUAGAGGUGAAAUUCGUAGAUAUGGGGAGGAACACCGGUGGCGAAGGCGGCCACCUGGUCGGUAACUGACGCUGAGACGCGAAAGCAUGGGGAGCAAACAGGAUUAGAUACCCUGGUAGUCCAUGCCGUAAACGAUGAGAACUAGGUGUCGCGGGUGUUGACCCCUGCGGUGCCGUAGCUAACGCAUUAAGUUCUCCGCCUGGGAAGUACGGCCGCAAGGCUA